CUACGGGAGGCAGCAGUCGGGAAUAUUGCGCAAUGGAGGAAACUCUGACGCAGUGACGCCGCGUAUAGGAAGAAGGUUUUCGGAUUGUAAACUAUUGUCGUUAGGGAAGAAGAAGUGACAGUACCUAAGGAGGAAGCUCCGGCUAACUAUGUGCCAGCAGCCGCGGUAAUACAUAAGGAGCAAGCGUUAUCCGGAUUUAUUGGGUGUAAAGGGUGCGUAGACGGGAAUUUAAGUUGGUUGUGAAAUCCCUUGGCUUAACUGAGGAACUGCAACCAAAACUGGAUUUCUUGAGUAUCGGAGAGGAAAGUGGAAUUCCUAGUGUAGCGGUGAAAUGCGUAGAUAUUAGGAGGAACACCAGUGGCGAAGGCGACUUUCUGGACGAAAACUGACGUUGAGGCACGAAAGUGUGGGGAGCAAACAGGAUUAGAUACCCUGGUAGUCCACACUGUAAACGAUGGAUACUAGGUGUAGGGUUUAAUAAAGACUCUGUGCCGCCGCAAACGCAUUAAGUAUCCCACCUGGGGAGUACGACCGCAAGGUUGAAACUCAAAGGAAUUGACG
RNAcentral lists this ribosomal RNA (561 nucleotides) under uncultured bacterium. RNAcentral describes it as "bacterial SSU rRNA". It matches the Rfam family "Bacterial small subunit ribosomal RNA", at positions 339 to 915 of the family's 1533-position model. The record is from RNAcentral.